UACGUAGGGGGCAUGCGUUGUCCGGAAUUAUUGGGCGUAAAGAGCGUGUAGGCGGUCCGGUAAGUCAGGGGUGAAAUCCCGGGGCUCAACCCCGGAACUGCCUUUGAUACUGGGUAUCUGGAGGUCGAGAGAGGCGAGUGGAAUUCCGAGUGUAGAGGUGAAAUUCGUAGAUAUUCGGAGGAACACCAGUGGCGAAGGCGGCUCGCUGGCUCGAUACUGACGCUGAGGUGCGAAAGCGUGGGGAGCAAACAGG
Molecule: ribosomal RNA, 253 nt
Filed under: uncultured bacterium
Lineage: Bacteria
Description: partial 16S ribosomal RNA
Rfam family: Bacterial small subunit ribosomal RNA
Source: RNAcentral